UAGGGAAUCUUCGGCAAUGGACGGAAGUCUGACCGAGCAACGCCGCGUGAGUGAAGAAGGUUUUCGGAUCGUAAAGCUCUGUUGUUAGAGAAGAACGUUGGUAGGAGUGGAAAAUCUACCAAGUGACGGUAACUAACCAGAAAGGGACGGCUAACUACGUGCCAGCAGCCGCGGUAAUACGUAGGUUCCGAGCGUUGUCCGGAUUUAUUGGGCGUAAAGCGAGCGCAGGCGGUUCUUUAAGUCUGAAGUUAAAGGCAGUGGCUUAACCAUUGUACUCUUUGGAAACUGGAGGACUUGAGUGCAGAAGGGGAGAGUGGAAUUCCAUGUGUAGCGGUAAAAUGCGUAGAUAUAUGGAGGAACACCGGUGGCGAAAGCGGCUCUCUGGUCUGUAACUGACGCUGAGGCUCGAAAGCGUGGGGAGCAAACAGG
This 429-nucleotide ribosomal RNA is filed under the name Bacillota bacterium. RNAcentral's name for it is "Firmicutes bacterium partial 16S ribosomal RNA". It matches the Rfam family "Bacterial small subunit ribosomal RNA", at positions 355 to 776 of the family's 1533-position model. Lineage: Bacteria; Bacillati; Bacillota. The record is from RNAcentral.